AUGGAGAGGGAUCAUAUUCAGAAGAAGAUGUUAGCAAUACUGAGAAGACUCCGAAAUGUACGAUCAUGUGUGGAACUUCCACCAAUCUGGCAGCUACCCAACUUGAAAUAUCUGAGAAUUGAUGGAGCACAUGCAGUUAGCAAGGUUGGACCUCAAUUUGUUGGCUGCAAGAAGGGUAAUCCUGUGUGGUCUAUUUUUGAGGAAGAAGUUGCUGCUAAUGAUGAAAGGGGCGAGGAUGGAGCUGCUGAUAUUCGAAAAGAGGAUGCCCAAUCUGCAAGGUUGCAACUGCUACCUCGUUUGGUGGGGUUGCACCUAGAAGAUUGCCCGAAGCUGAGGGCUCUCCCACGACAGCUUGGAAAGGACAUUACCAGCUUGAAGGAGCUUAGAUUAUUUGGAAUAAACAACUUGAAGGCGGUGGAGGACUUUCCAAAUAUUCCCGAGCUCCUUUCUAUAAAAGAUUGUGAAGGCCUGGAGAGGAUCUGCAACCUCGCUCAAGUGACAUACCUGCAUGUACUAGGUUGUCCAAACUUAAGCCAUGUAGAGGGGUUGGGCAAUUUGCAACAACUAGGGUUGGCGGUGGAUAUGCAAGAGGUCUCUUCCGGCUGGGUGCCUGGGUUUCAUGAACAGCACCAACGAAUUCAUGGUGAAGACCUGGAUGUCUCCACGGUUGUCUAG
Molecule: ribosomal RNA, 675 nt
Filed under: Triticum aestivum (bread wheat)
Lineage: Eukaryota; Viridiplantae; Streptophyta; Magnoliopsida; Poales; Poaceae
Description: partial small subunit ribosomal RNA
Source: RNAcentral